This 491-nucleotide ribosomal RNA is filed under the name uncultured bacterium. Its description in RNAcentral is "partial 16S ribosomal RNA". It matches the Rfam family "Bacterial small subunit ribosomal RNA", at positions 29 to 507 of the family's 1533-position model. The record is from RNAcentral.
GUGAACGCUGGCGGUAGGCCUAACACCUGCAAGUCGAACGGCAGCACAGUAAGAGCUUGCUCUUCCGGGUGGCGAGUGGCGGACGGGUGAGGAAUACAUCGGAAUCUACUUUUUCGUGGGGGAUAACGUAGGGAAACUUACGCUAAUACCGCAUACGACCUACGGGUGAAAGCAGGGGAUCUUCGGACCUUGCGCGAUUGAAUGAGCCGAUGUCGGAUUAGCUAGUUGGCGGGGUAAAGGCCCACCAAGGCGACGAUCCGUAGCUGGUCUGAGAGGAUGAUCAGCCACACUGGAACUGAGACACGGUCCAGACUCCUACGGGAGGCAGAAGUGGGGAAUAUUGGACAAUGGGCGCAAGCCUGAUCCAGCCAUACCGCGUGGGUGAAGAAGGCCUUCGGGUUGUAAAGCCCUUUUGUUGGGAAAGAAAAGCAGCAGGUUAAUACCCCGCUGUUCUGACGGUACCCAAAGAAUAAGCACCGGCUAACUUCGUG